AGAGUUCCAAAAUGGCCAGCAGCAGUCUGAACUUCCAGCUCAAUGCCACCAUUGUUCUGCCUCCCGGUAGAAACAUUUUCCCCUUUCGGCAUCAAGAUUUCUUGGCCAGCAGAGCAAAGGCCACAGACAGAAGGAGCAAAUUUUGCAACCAGUUCCAGGUCAACAUGGGAAGACUCUUGUGACUGUUGCUCGGCCUUAUCAACUGUGGUGAUCAUGCCCUCCUGCCUCUGCUGGCUGAGUGCCAACCUUCCCCUCUGCCACCAUGGAAACUGGGAAAAACAUCACAAAGACCAUCUGUGUCUCAGGACUCUGACGCCAAGACGCCAAAGCUACUCUUACUAAUUUGGAAUAAACAUCAUCAAUGGAGGUCA
Peromyscus maniculatus bairdii (prairie deer mouse) is the source of this 371-nucleotide non-coding RNA. NCBI's taxonomy places the organism in Eukaryota, Metazoa, Chordata, Mammalia, Rodentia, Cricetidae. The record is from RefSeq and is a predicted model, not a curated record.